CAAGGCCUUUUAUAUCUUAUGGUAUGGGUUUGCUCAUAGUCGAAGGCGGUAUGAUGAGCUAUAGUUGUUAAUUUCAGUGCCUUUUGUUUCUUUUGGAGAGUUGUCUCAAUGGCAAUCAUACCACAUCUCCUUUUAUACUUACAAAAUAUAAAAUACAAAAUAGUUAUGCAUCAUUUGUUUGAGCACGUGAGUGAAAUAUUGCCUUUGGGAAUAACACAAUAUUUUUUGCCUUUAACAUUCACAUUUACUAGUGCCACUACCCCUAAUUGUACUUUGAAAGAGAAACCCUGACUACCAUUUCUUUUGAAAGUUUUUUACAGCUUCACAUAGUGAAAGUUGAGGAUGAGAAACUGUUGCUGUAAAUAAAGAUGUGUUUUAACAACUUCAAUUUAAUUUCUCGUCAACUAUCUUUUUAAAGAUCCAACAGCUGUUCCGAUGUGGUACCCACAUUCUCCAUAUUCAAUAAUUUCACA
This 473-nucleotide long non-coding RNA is filed under the name Mytilus galloprovincialis (Mediterranean mussel). Lineage: Eukaryota; Metazoa; Mollusca; Bivalvia; Mytilida; Mytilidae. The record is from RNAcentral.